This 167-nucleotide non-coding RNA is filed under the name chicken gut metagenome. RNAcentral describes it as "Lysine riboswitch". It matches the Rfam family "Lysine riboswitch aptamer". From Rfam's summary of the family: Riboswitches are metabolite binding domains within certain messenger RNAs that serve as precision sensors for their corresponding targets. Allosteric rearrangement of mRNA structure is mediated by ligand binding, and this results in modulation of gene expression. This family includes riboswitches that sense lysine in a number of genes involved in lysine metabolism, including lysC. The record is from RNAcentral.
AUAGAGGCGCGAAGCUUAUCAGUAUCUUGGCAGAGCCGUUCAGGCGGCAAGGAAGCCAGGGGAAAGGGAGUUUCGCCGAAGCGGGGGUUCACCUGGAAGGGCCUUUGCUGGGCGGACGGAGAAGAUCCGGCCGACUGUCACAAUCUUGGAUUGUGGAGCGCUAUUGG